RNAcentral lists this ribosomal RNA (356 nucleotides) under uncultured organism. RNAcentral describes it as "bacterial SSU rRNA". It matches the Rfam family "Bacterial small subunit ribosomal RNA", at positions 45 to 433 of the family's 1533-position model. The record is from RNAcentral.
CGCCUAACACAUGCAAGUCGAGUGGGUUUAGACCCACGGCAGACGGCUGAGUAACACGUUGGUACCUACCCCGAACUCAGGGAUAACCCGCCGAAAGGCGGGCUAAUACCGGAUAGUCCCGAAAGGGUAAAGAUUUUUCGGUUCGGGAGGGGCCUGCGGCCUAUCAGAUAGUUGGUGAGGUAACGGCUUACCAAGUCGAUGACGGGUAGCUGGUUUGAGAGAACGACCAGCCAGAAUGGAACUGAGACACGGUCCAUACUCCUACGGGAGGCAGCAGUGAGGAAUAUUCCGCAAUGGACGAAAGUCUGACGGAGCGACGCCGCGUGCAGGAUGACGCCCUUCGGGGUGUAAACUGC